CCUACGGGGGGCAGCAGUGGGGAAUAUUGGGCAAUGGGCGCAAGCCUGACCCAGCAACGUCGCGUGAAGGAAGAAGGCUCUCGGGUUGUAAACUUUUUUUGACAGGGAAGAGUAGAAGACGGUACCUGUCGAAUAAGCCACGGCUAACUACGGGCCAGCAGCCGCGGUAAUACGGAGGUGGCAAGCGUUGUCCGGAUUUACUGGGUGUAAAGGGCGUGUAGCCGGGUUGAUAAGUCAGAUGUGAAAUCCUGCGGCUUAACCGCAGAACUGCAUUUGAAACUGUUGAUCUUGAGUACUGGAGAGGCAGACGGAAUUCCUAGUGUAGCGGUGAAAUGCGUAGAUAUUAGGAGGAACACCAGUGGCGAAGGCAGUCUGCUGGACAGCAACUGACGGUGAGGCGCGAAAGCGUGGGGAGCAAACAGGAUUAGAUACCCGAGUAGUC
This 442-nucleotide ribosomal RNA is filed under the name uncultured bacterium. Its description in RNAcentral is "partial 16S ribosomal RNA". It matches the Rfam family "Bacterial small subunit ribosomal RNA", at positions 338 to 795 of the family's 1533-position model. The record is from RNAcentral.